Molecule: long non-coding RNA, 1933 nt
Organism: Lycium ferocissimum
Lineage: Eukaryota; Viridiplantae; Streptophyta; Magnoliopsida; Solanales; Solanaceae
Exons: 4
Source: RefSeq, a predicted model, not a curated record
UUCUUCUUCGAUGAAUAACCUAGUAGCCGUAGUAGAUGAAUCACCAUUUCCAACACCCCCCCCCCGGAAGUUGGAGGGGUUUGAAGAAAUCCCCAACUUGGAGAGGAUGGAAUAAUGAGAUGGCCAAGAUAGUGGUUUGGUAAAGAUAUCCACGAUCUGAGAAGAUGCCAGAAUAUAGGAGAGAGAAAUUAGUCCGGCGAUGAACUGUUGCCGGACAAAAUGGCAAUCGAGUUCAACAUUUUUCGUUCUCUCGUGGAAGACGGGAUUACGCGCGAUAUGGAUUGUUGAUUUGCUAUCUGAAUGUACCGGAAUAGGUAACUCCGGCGGAGAUCCCAAAUCAACGAGCAGUCGAUGUAACCAUGUAAGCUCAGCUACGACACGUCUCAUGGAUCGAUACUCAGCUUCAGCUCAGAAGAGAGAGAUUGAAUCUUGUUUCUUCGAUUUCCAAGAGAUCGAAGAUCCUCCAAGAGUGAUGAAGAGGCCACUAACAGAUCUGCGAGAAUCAACACACGAACCCCAAUCCGCAUCACAACAAGCAACAAUCUUUAUAGAAGAAUCAGCCUUAAAAAGCAAACCUUGACCCGGAUUUGUUCGAAGAUAUCGAAGAACUCGAAGUGUAGCUGAAUAGUGAGGAACUCGAGGGCUUUGCAUGAACUGAGAAAGAUGAUGCACUGCAUAAGUUAUGUCAGGUCAACUAUAAGUGACGAUCAAGUGGUGAAGACAGAAGAGGAAGGUGAGAUCAAUCAAACUCUGAAAGAAGAUCCAGAGUAUAAUUUCGCUGUGUGAUGAUCAAACCAUGAGAUUCCCUCAAGAUCUCAAGACCCAAAAAAUAAUGUCUUUCCACAGAUCUUCAGCAGUUUUAGAAUAAAUGACAGAUUCAGCUAUCUCUUUAGAAAGAGAAUUCAAUAGCCAAGAUGUGACCAUGUCAUCACAUCUAUGCCAGAGUUUGAAGUCUGAAGAUGUAGAAUCAGGAAUUUUGAAAGAUCCAUCAAUAAAAGAGGUUUUGUUUUUGGCUGAGAGGGCAAUCAGGAUGGAUCUUCUUCAACCUGCAAACCCUCUUCCUUCAAAAAUAGAAUUUACCAGAGACAUUCCUGGUGACAAUGGGUAGAGCUGAAGCUGCCGGUAAUAAGGAUUGCCCAGUUAAAAUUAAACUUAUGCGCCUCCAGUAUAUGUGUUGAUCAAUACUCAAGACUCUUGUUAAGGUAACUAACUGUUGUAUGUAGUUGUUAGUGUCUUGUUUGUUCACUGAUGAUAUGGUGUGGGUUUUACCAGUGAGAAUGAUCUGAAUCAUAUCAUUGUACAUGAGUACUGUUUAAAUUCUAUGUUUUCUACUAGCGUGUGCAGCAUUCUUAGUUGCUGCUUAGAAGUAAUUUAAAAAUAUAUAUAUAUAUAUAGAAUGAUGGUGAAGAUUAAGUGGUUGAUCAAGGGCUUUGAGUUUCUACCGGAUAUUUGAGUUGAGACUAGAUCUACUUUUCUUCAGUAAGAAGUAGCUGAAAGCAUACUUCUUGCCAUCUCUUAAUGAGUUCCUAGGCAAAAUUUUGUACUCUACGUUUCAUAUUGUAUUCUUGCUUCACCAAAUUAGCUUGGUAAUGUCUUAUCGGGAAAAAAGGGGCUUGGGAAGACACUCUAGCCUCCUAGUUCAUUUUAGUGGCUGCAGAGUACCCGUUGCUUCCUCUCAUCCCUAGUUGUUCUGUUGACAACAAACAAGGAUGUCUCUCUUGGUGAUGCUGCCCGACUCUUGUAUAUUGCUAUAUCUGUCCUUUACAGGAACUUUGCCAACAACCUUUUUGUCCUUCACCUCUGUCUUAAAAGAAAAGAUUUCUAAAAUAUGGGUUUGAAAAUUUUCAAAUGAGCAGAGUAUCUUCAGAAAUUAGUAUCAGGAUAGUGAACUCCUACUGGGUAUCUCUACCGGCGUUAUUGUUAACUCUAAAAA